CCUACGGGUGGCAGCAGUGGGGAAUAUUGCGCAAUGGGCGAAAGCCUGACGCAGCGACGCCGCGUGAGGGAUGAAGGUCUUCGGAUCGUAAACCUCUGUCAGCAGGGAAGAACGGUCACUGUGCUAAUCAGCAGUGAAUUGACGGUACCUGCAAAGGAAGCACCGGCUAACUCCGUGCCAGCAGCCGCGGUAAUACGGAGGGUGCGAGCGAUAAUCGGAAUUACUGGGCGAAAAGCGCUCGUAGGCGGUAUGUCAAGUCAAGGGUGAAAUCUGCGCGCUCAACGUGGGGACUGCCUUUGAAACUGGCAAGCUGGAGAGUGUGAGAGGAUAGUGGAAUUCCAGGUGUAGGAGUGAAAUCCGUAGAUAUCUGAAGGAACAUCAGUGGCGAAGGCGACUAUCUGGCACAUAACUGACGCUGAGGAGCGAAAGCGUAGGUAGCAAACAGGAUUAGAUACCCUUGUAGUC
RNAcentral lists this ribosomal RNA (465 nucleotides) under uncultured bacterium. Its description in RNAcentral is "partial 16S ribosomal RNA". It matches the Rfam family "Bacterial small subunit ribosomal RNA", at positions 338 to 795 of the family's 1533-position model. The record is from RNAcentral.